GGCUUUAUAUUCAAAUUAUGAUAUUAGACUGCAAUUCUAAAGGUGUAAGUUAAAUACUAAGGCCU
RNAcentral lists this transfer RNA (65 nucleotides) under Phlaeoba tenebrosa. Its description in RNAcentral is "tRNA-Cys". It matches the Rfam family "tRNA". From Rfam's summary of the family: Transfer RNA (tRNA) molecules are approximately 80 nucleotides in length. Their secondary structure includes four short double-helical elements and three loops (D, anti-codon, and T loops). The record is from RNAcentral. Lineage: Eukaryota; Metazoa; Arthropoda; Insecta; Orthoptera; Acrididae.